RNAcentral lists this long non-coding RNA (1484 nucleotides) under Homo sapiens (human). Its description in RNAcentral is "non-protein coding lnc-MARCH7-1:5". The record is from RNAcentral. Lineage: Eukaryota; Metazoa; Chordata; Mammalia; Primates; Hominidae.
AGAAGAUUAAAAGAGGGAAGCAGAGGAGUUGGGAGCUGGCGGUCGUUCCCGGGGAAGAACUGCUAAAACAUGAGACCAAGGCACAGACCUUACUGUAUGAGAAGCAAUGCUCCUCAAACCUUCUGCGUGCUGACAUAGACCUUCCCAGAAGCAAAACUGUUGGCGGCGACCUGAGCGCUGGAAGCCGAAGGGGAAGAGGAAGGAGACGCGAAGCCAGGGCGGCCGGCACAAAGGCGGCGGACUCGCGGCGGCAGCGCCUGCCCGGCCGGGAGCACAACCCACGGCCCUACUCCAGCGAAGUCCCGCACCGGCUUCUAGGAAUAAAGUUUACGUUCUCCUGAGGCCGCACCCCCCACCUCCCACCCAGGACGGCACAUCUCCGUGUCCUCCUCCCCCAAACUCCACUCGGGACCCCGAGAACCACCCCAGCCUUCCGGCCACCACAACAAAGAGCCGCACCGACCGGCGAGGAUAAACAGCGGCGGAGGGCGAGAGGGCGGCGGGGCGAGCGCCUCCACGCAGCAACUCCGGAGUCCCCCGCUUGCCCGAGCGCAGUUUCUCCGCUGCUGUUUCCACCGGCUUUGUAACACUGGGAAUUUACAUCCUCACCCGCACCCCUCACGCCCGAGGAUUUUAAACUCACCUUUACUCUCGAACUGAGAGUUGCGGUAGAUGGGAUUUUUGCCUUUUCCCCAGAUGGUUGAAGGUUAAGAUUUUUGGAAACCCCACCACCUCCUUAUUUCUAUUAUUAUUUCUGCAAGAAAAGUAUAAAGAGAGUUGUAGUGGAGGUGAGAUUUGUGAUCGGGAAAGCCUUCGACUCCCUCCUUCUCCGUCUUCCGCCUCUCUCUCUCUGAUUAGUUCCUAUCCAGCAGCAGAUUGAAGCAGGAGAUGAUUCUUCUCAAGGUUUGUUCAGCAGCUUCACUUCUAGGCGAAGGCUUCAUGAACCAAGUGACGUCAACCAACAAGGCUUCUCUCUCUCUCCUCUCUCUAACAAUGAAAGUUGCUGUUAACAAGGGAAAAAAAGAGAGAGAAUUGUUUAUACCAUUUCAGUUCCAAUAAUAAAUGACCUAUCAGCUCCUAAAGGAGCCAAGGGAGGGGGUUGCUUCUUCUUUCCAAGAAUACUGUAGCUUUGAGUUUGCACCGUUCCUUGUCCCAGGAAAAAGUUAAGAAACUUAAAAUGUUUUGUUUUGCUUUUAAAGAAGACAGGACAGAAAACGGGAUUUAAAACUUAGUUUUUAAAAAAACAAAAGCUACAGAGUAGGGAGCAUAGGUCAACCAUCUCCACCUAAAUUUUUUUUGUUCCUAAACUCAGAAUUCUACAACCCAACUAAAUUAAUAUGCCAAGAUUUUGCGGAUGUUAAAACUCAAAAAAAGCAGUAUGCAAGACGGUCCCGGGGUAAAAUUCUACUGCCUUUCCACGGACAAGUUAAACUGGCUGUAAUGUUUAUGCACUAAGUUAAAAUAAAAUUUAAAUAAAAGACGUU